This 229-nucleotide ribosomal RNA is filed under the name uncultured bacterium. RNAcentral's name for it is "partial 16S ribosomal RNA". It matches the Rfam family "Bacterial small subunit ribosomal RNA", at positions 568 to 796 of the family's 1533-position model. The record is from RNAcentral.
UGCGUAGGCGGGCUAAUAAGUCAGUGGUGAAAUCUCUCGGCUCAACCGGGAGACUGCCAUUGAUACUGUUAGUCUUGAGUUCGGUUGAGGUAGGCGGAAUGUGUAAUGUAGCGGUGAAAUGCCUAGAUAUUACACAGAACACCAAUUGCGUAGGCAGCUUACUAGACUGACACUGACGCUGAGGCACGAAAGCGUGGGGAGCGAACAGGAUUAGAUACCCUGGUAGUCC